GUUUGAUCAUGGCUUAGGAUUAACGCUAGCGGUACGCCUAAUACAUGCAAGUCGAGCGGGUGUAGCAAUACAUCAGCGGCAAACGGGUGCGUAACACGUAUCUAACCUACCCUUAAGAGAGGAACAACUGGUCGAAAGACUAGCUAAUACCUCAUAGGAAAAACAUCUUAUGGUGUUUUUUUAAAGGUCCGUUCGGACCACUUUUGGAUGGGGGUGCGGCUUAUCAGAUAGUUGGUGAGGUAAUGGCCCACCAAGUCUAUGACGAGUAGCUAUGCUGAGAGGUAGAAUAGCCACAAUGGGACUGAGACACGGCCCAUACUCCUACGGGAGGCAGCAGUAGGGAAUUUUUCUCAAUGGGCGAAAGCCUGAAGGAGCGAUACCGCGUGAACGAUGAAGGUCGUAAGAUUGUAAAGUUCUUUUAUAUGGGACGAAUAGUAGUAAUAGGAAAUGAUUGCUAUUUGACUGUACCAUUUGAAUAAGUAACGGCAAACUUUGUGCCAGCAGCCGCGGUAAUACAAAGGUUACAAGCGUUAUCCGGAUUUACUGGGCGUAAAGCGAGCGCGGGCUGAUAUACAAGUCUGAUGUAAAAUGCUAUUGCUUAACAAUAGUAGGCAUUGGAAACUGUAUGUCUUGAGUGUGAUAGGGAGUUUUAGAACUCCAUGUGGAGCGGUGGAAUGCGUAGAUAUAUGGAAGAAUACCAAUGGUGAAGACAAAAACUUAGGUCACUACUGACGCUUAGGCUCGAAAGUGUGGGGAGCAAAUAGGAUUAGAUACCCUAGUAGUCCACACCGUAAACGAUGAUCAUUAGAGGUUGAUAUGUUAGUAUCAGUCUCGAAGCUAACGCAUUAAAUGAUCCGCCUGGGUAGUACAUUCGCAAGAAUGAAACUCAAACGGAAUUGACGGGAGCCCGCACAAGUGGUGGAGCAUGUUGUUUAAUUCGACAGUACACGCGAAACCUUACCAGGGUUUGACAUGUUGAGCAAAGUUAUAGAAAUAUAAUGGAGGUUAACUCAAACACAGGUGGUGCAUGGUUGUCGUCAGCUCUUGUCGUGAGAUGUCCCGUUAAGUCUGGGAAAAGAGCGAAACCCCAAGUAAAAUGUUAAUUUUCUUUUACUCUUAGUUGUCAUUUAUUGACACUAUUCAAAGGGACGACGUCAAAUCCUCAUGCCCUUUAUACCCUGGGCCACAAACGUGCUACAAUGGCAACUACAAAGUGCUGCAAUAUCGUAAGAUGGAGCUAAUCACUAAAGGUUGUCCCAGUUCAGAUCGAGGACUGCAACUCGUCCUCGUGAAGUUGGAAUCACUAGUAAUCGCGAAUAAGUCAUGUCGCGGUGAAUGCGUUCUCGGGCUUUGUACACACCGCCCGUC
Molecule: ribosomal RNA, 1368 nt
Filed under: uncultured bacterium
Lineage: Bacteria
Description: 16S ribosomal RNA
Rfam family: Bacterial small subunit ribosomal RNA
Source: RNAcentral